Non-coding RNA from Sturnus vulgaris (Common starling), 167 nucleotides. NCBI's taxonomy places the organism in Eukaryota, Metazoa, Chordata, Aves, Passeriformes, Sturnidae. The record is from RefSeq and is a predicted model, not a curated record.
CGGCGCGAUCCCGGCGAUCCCAGGAGAAGCUGCACGGAUCCACUCGGAGUUAAAACCACGUGGGAACUCCAACCUAUAACAGAGACGCCAUGGGCUCCUCACUAUUUAGGAGAUUAAGUUAAGUCUUUUGCCCCCUGGGCUAUUACAGUAACUUCCUGAUGUGGAAA